RNAcentral lists this ribosomal RNA (251 nucleotides) under Linnemannia fluviae. RNAcentral describes it as "Mortierella fluviae partial large subunit ribosomal RNA". The record is from RNAcentral. Lineage: Eukaryota; Fungi; Mortierellomycota; Mortierellomycetes; Mortierellales; Mortierellaceae.
CGUGAAAUUGUUGAAAGGGAAACGUUUGACACCAGUUAUGCGGGUGGAAAAUCAGUCUUUUGCAGUGGGGAGUUGUGGGCGUUCAGACCGCAAGGCUGGCGUUUGCUUCAUCUUUGUUGUAAGUGAUGCACUUUUUCAUUUGCAGGUCAACAUCAGUUUGCUUUGCUGGACAAAACCCCAAGGGCAGGUGGCAGCUUAGGCUGUGUUAUAGCCCUGGGGCGAUACAGUGGAGUGGACUGAGGUUUAGCAGG